AAAUUGAAGAGUUUGAUCAUGGCUCAGAUUGAACGCUGGCGGCAGGCCUAACACAUGCAAGUCGAACGGUAACAGGAAGCAGCUUGCUGCUUCGCUGACGAGUGGCGGACGGGUGAGUAAUGUCUGGGAAACUGCCUGAUGGAGGGGGAUAACUACUGGAAACGGUGGCUAAUACCGCAUAACGUCGCAAGACCAAAGAGGGGGACCUUCGGGCCUCUUGCCAUCAGAUGUGCCCAGAUGGGAUUAGCUUGUUGGUGAGGUAACGGCUCACCAAGGCGACGAUCCCUAGCUGGUCUGAGAGGAUGACCAGCCACACUGGAACUGAGACACGGUCCAGACUCCUACGGGAGGCAGCAGUGGGGAAUAUUGCACAAUGGGCGCAAGCCUGAUGCAGCCAUGCCGCGUGUAUGAAGAAGGCCUUCGGGUUGUAAAGUACUUUCAGCGGGGAGGAAGGUGUUGUGGUUAAUAACCGCAGCAAUUGACGUUACCCGCAGAAGAAGCACCGGCUAACUCCGUGCCAGCAGCCGCGGUAAUACGGAGGGUGCAAGCGUUAAUCGGAAUUACUGGGCGUAAAGCGCACGCAGGCGGUCUGUCAAGUCGGAUGUGAAAUCCCCGGGCUCAACCCGGGAACUGCAUUCGAAACUGGCAGGCUUGAGUCUUGUAGAGGGGGUAGAAUUCCAGGUGUAGCGGUGAAAUGCGUAGAGAUCUGGAGGAAUACCGGUGGCGAAGGCGGCCCCCUGGACAAAGACUGACGCUCAGGUGCGAAAGCGUGGGGAGCAAACAGGAUUAGAUACCACGGUAGUCCACGCCGUAAACGAUGUCUACUUGGAGGUUGUGCCCUUGAGGCGUGGCUUCCGGAGCUAACGCGUUAAGUAGACCGCCCGGGAGUACGGCCGCAAGGUUAAAACUCAAAUGAAUUGACGGGGGCCCGCACAAGCGGUGGAGCAUGUGGUUUAAUUCGAUGCAACGCGAAGAACCUUACCUGGUCUUGACAUCCACAGAAGAAUCCAGAGAUGGAUUUGUGCCUUCGGGAACUGUGAGACAGGUGCUGCAUGGCUGUCGUCAGCUCGUGUUGUGAAAUGUUGGGUUAAGUCCCGCAACGAGCGCAACCCUUAUCCUUUGUUGCCAGCGGUUAGGCCGGGAACUCAAAGGAGACUGCCAGUGAUAAACUGGAGGAAGGUGGGGAUGACGUCAAGUCAUCAUGGCCCUUACGACCAGGGCUACACACGUGCUACAAUGGCGCAUACAAAGAGAAGCGACCUCGCGAGAGCAAGCGGACCUCAUAAAGUGCGUCGUAGUCCGGAUUGGAGUCUGCAACUCGACUCCAUGAAGUCGGAAUCGCUAGUAAUCGUGGAUCAGAAUGCCACGGUGAAUACGUUCCCGGGCCUUGUACACACCGCCCGUCACACCAUGGGAGUGGGUUGCAAAAGAAGUAGGUAGCUUAACCUUCGGGAGGGCGCUUACCACUUUGUGAUUCAUGACUGGGGUGAAGUCGUAACAAGGUAACCGUAGGGGAACCUGCGGUUGGAUCACCUCCUUA
RNAcentral lists this ribosomal RNA (1540 nucleotides) under Salmonella enterica. RNAcentral describes it as "bacterial SSU rRNA". It matches the Rfam family "Bacterial small subunit ribosomal RNA". The record is from RNAcentral. Lineage: Bacteria; Pseudomonadati; Pseudomonadota; Gammaproteobacteria; Enterobacterales; Enterobacteriaceae.